GGAGAGUUAAACUUACCCAUGGGAAGGGCUAGGUUUAGUUAGAUUUGUAGUUACAGAAAUGCACCAAGAUGUGUCCAUAUGUAGUCUAUUUGGCUUAUAUGGAUAUCAAGGACCAAUUAUUGCAUUGUCUACGUAUUAAAAAACAAACGUACCUAGUGCUCUUAAUAUACUAUCUUGAUAAUAUCACCAAUUUAAUCUUCAGUACGGUUUAGUACAUAUAAUGAAUGAUAAUUUAAACAAAAUAAGUACUUAAACCUAUAACAUAUAUAUGCAUUCUUUGAUUGUUGCAAAGACAAGAAAAGUGUAAUUGUGUAAGGGAAGGCAAAUUCGUGCAAAACCACACGUUUCAAUCUGAAUAUUUCGCUCACUAACCAACUAUAAAUGUAGUAUAUGUAUAUGCAUAUUUGAUCUUAUUUGUUGAAAAGCUCUAAUAAAGUUAAACUUUUUUCUUAUCUAUGUGAACUCUAGAUAUGGCAAGAAAACAUUCUCAAGAAGAUACCUGAGACCUAGGAAAAGAUAAAAAAAGCCAAACGUGGACGUGGGAUUGCUUGUUUUUCAAAGAAGAUACCCGAGCACAAGAAGCAUAUAUAUUUUGAUAAAAAUAACGAACGAUAUUCGGGUUCAUAGGUCAUACUAGGGUUCAUGGAGGACUAUAUAAAAAUGUGAGCCAAGACUCAAUACCACAAGUACACACGAGGCCAACCUUUUGUGGCUCUAGCUAUGGGUCUAAUGGACGGGUCCACUAUCCGCCAAUCAUGAGUCACACCGAAUGUGAGUUGUUAAUGAAUAUGGCUGAUAUGUUAGAGACGGUGGCUUAUGGUAUGGCAUGGCCUAGCACGUCAACGAUGAUAGGUUCUAGCCCAAUAUCUGAGGGUCGUGUCAAGGUGGAAGUGGAUGAUGUCGUUAAUAAACAUAAGAAGUCGGAAUUUUAUUCAGUCACCAAAACAAGUGAAAUUAAAUUGGUUGAAGAUUUGGUUCUUUAAUAUGUUCAAUGGCCAAGAUAAUGCAAUAAGGGUAUAAUAUAAAUAUAUUUUAGUAUAUCAAUAGUUACAAUAUUUUUUUUUUAAAUUCUCUUAAGAAUGAAGGGACACAGCAUGUCACAUAACACCCCCAUUGUGAACUCACGCUGUGGGUCACAAUCAUAGAGGUGCCUCACCAUUGGUAGCAGACUCAAUAAUACAUGAUCAUGACACCACAAUGACUUCAGCUUAUCAUCCACAGUUACAAAUGGUCGCUGACCCAUUUAAUCUUAUAUCUUUGGUUAAUUUAGUUAUAUUUGUUAGUGUCCAGACAUUUUGUUUGUUAUUUAGAUUA
Molecule: long non-coding RNA, 1314 nt
Organism: Helianthus annuus (common sunflower)
Lineage: Eukaryota; Viridiplantae; Streptophyta; Magnoliopsida; Asterales; Asteraceae
Exons: 3
Source: RefSeq, a predicted model, not a curated record